UAAGGAAUAUUGGUCAAUGGACGCAAGUCUGAACCAGCCAUGCCGCGUGAAGGAUGAAGGUCCUCUGGAUUGUAAACUUCUUUUAUCUGGGACGAAAACGGGAUUUUUAUCUCAAUUGACGGUACCAGAGGAAUAAGCACCGGCUAACUCCGUGCCAGCAGCCGCGGUAAUACGGAGGGUGCAAGCGUUAAUCGGAAUUACUGGGCGUAAAGCGUGCGCAGGCGGUUUGUUAAGUCUGCUGUGAAAUCCCCGAGCUCAACUUGGGAAUUGCAGUGGAUACUGGCAAGCUGGAGUACGGUAGAGGAAGGUGGAAUUCCCGGUGUAGCAGUGAAAUGCGUAGAGAUCGGGAGGAACACCAGUGGCGAAGGCGGCCUUCUGGACCAGUACUGACGCUCAUGCACGAAAGCGUGGGGAGCAAACA
Molecule: ribosomal RNA, 421 nt
Filed under: uncultured bacterium
Lineage: Bacteria
Description: bacterial SSU rRNA
Rfam family: Bacterial small subunit ribosomal RNA
Source: RNAcentral